This 1291-nucleotide ribosomal RNA is filed under the name Myrmekiaphila torreya. Its description in RNAcentral is "partial 16S large subunit ribosomal RNA". Lineage: Eukaryota; Metazoa; Arthropoda; Arachnida; Araneae; Euctenizidae. The record is from RNAcentral.
UCAGAGGAAUUUGUCUAUAAAUCGUCAUUACUCGUUUAUUUUCACUUUUUUCUAUUUUCUAUACCGCCGUCUUAAGUUAAAACUCCAAAUUUUUAUCUCAAGCUCUUUUGAUAAGUCAGGUCAAGGUGGAGAUUAUAAAAAAGUUUAGAUUAAUUAUUCAUAAACGUUAUUUAAAGUCGGUUUUCCAAAGAUAGCUUAAAUAAAGAUUUGAAAGUAGUUUUUAAUUAAAAAUUAAAAACAAACUUGUCGCAGGUGUACAUAUCGCCCGUCACCCUCGUCUAAAGAUGAGGUAAGUCGUAACAUAGUUAGUGUACUGGAAAGUGCACUAAGGGGAAUUAAAAGCUUUAGCGUUUCAUUUACACAGAAAAGAGUGAUAAUUCAAUUUUCAUAAACCUUCCUUACUUAAAUCACUAUUCAUCCCACUUAAUUUCCCUAUUUUUAAAAAUAACCGUAAGGGCCAAUAAAUUGAUUCUAAGAAACUUUUUAAUGUACCUUUUGUAUCAGGGUGGGUCAAGCUUACUAUUGAAAAAUAUUGUCCCGAAAUAAAAUGAGCUACUUCACUUAUUAUAUCUUAUAGCAAAAAAAUAGUAAAAGUUUAGUAGAAGUGAAAUUCCAUUCGUAUUUUAUUAUAUCUGGUUUUUUCAAAAAGUAUAAUUACUUAAACCUAAAAAGGGAUAAUCUUUUUUAACUAUUUAUUUUUCCAUUUUUCCAUCCUUCUAAGAUUAGAAGUGUCUUCUUGUGUAAAAACUUUUGUUACUGUUUCCAGAUAAGUUUUAUUAUGGAAUUAUCUUCUUUUUAUAAAGACAAUGACUCUAUCAGUAAAGAGGAAUCCCAACCGUUCUUUAAAAAUCCUUUAAAACGAUUUUUUGACUUAUUUUCAUUAACUUGGCUAAGUUUUCUGACUGUUUACCAAAAACAUUUCUGAAUGAAUUUUCUUUUCAGUAAGACCUGCUCAAUGAUCUUUUUAAUAGCCGCAACUUAUGUGCUAAGGUAGCAUAAUCAUUUGCCUUAUAAUUUAAGGCUAGUAUGAAAGGUUUAACAUGAUAACUUCUUUGUUAAUUUAAUUACUAGAAUUUUACUUAUAAGUAAAAAGGCUUAUAUUCAAAAGGGGGACGACAAGACCCUGUCGAGCUUUACUUAUUAGUUGAACUGGGGUGGUUUAAAACUAAAUCUUUUCAUUUCGUUUAAUUAUAUCCUUAUUUUAAGAUUUUCAAGUUACCGCAGGGAUAACAGCAUAAUUUUUUUCUAGAGAUCUUAUCUAAAAAAAAGAUUGUGACCUCGAUGUUGAAUU